Etheostoma spectabile (orangethroat darter) is the source of this 107-nucleotide long non-coding RNA. RefSeq lists it as uncharacterized. NCBI's taxonomy places the organism in Eukaryota, Metazoa, Chordata, Actinopteri, Perciformes, Percidae. The transcript has 3 exons. The record is from RefSeq and is a predicted model, not a curated record.
AGUGAUGAGUGGCUUCACAGUCAGCUCCAGGUUUCAAUCAAUUUGUAACAAAGAGAGCUGACGUGCUCCGAGUCAGAAAAGAUGAAUGCUAAAGAAAACAGCUGAUG